Molecule: ribosomal RNA, 999 nt
Filed under: uncultured bacterium
Lineage: Bacteria
Description: bacterial SSU rRNA
Rfam family: Bacterial small subunit ribosomal RNA
Source: RNAcentral
UGUGCCAGCAGCCGCGGUAAUAGUAGGGUGCAAGCGUUAAUCGGAAUUACUGGGCGUAAAGCGAGUGCAGGCGGUUUGUUAAGCUAGAUGUGAAAGCCCCGGGCUCAACCCGGGAAUUGCGUUUAGAACUGGCCAAGCUAGAGUGUGUCAGAGGGGGGUAGAAUUCCACGUGUAGCAGUGAAAUGCGUAGAGAUGUGGAGGAAUACCGAUGGCGAAGGCAGCCCCCUGGGAUAACACUGACGCUCAUACUCGAAAGCGUGGGUAGCAAACAGGAUUAGAUACCCUGGUAGUCCACGCCCUAAACGAUGACAAUUAGCUGUUGGGGAAUUAAAAGUCCUUGGUAGCGUAGCUAACGCGUGAAAUUGUCCGCCUGGGGAGUACGGUCGCAAGAUUAAAACUCAAAGGAAUUGACGGGGACCCGCACAAGCGGUGGAUGAUGUGGAUUAAUUCGAUGCAACGCGAAGAACCUUACCUAGCCUUGACAUGUACGGAAGUCCGAUGAAAGUUGGAUGUGCCUUCGGGAACCGUAACACAGGUGCUGCAUGGCUGUCGUCAGCUCGUGUCGUGAGAUGUUGGGUUAAGUCCCGCAACGAGCGCAACCCUUGUCAUUAGUUGCUACCAUUUAGUUGAGCACUCUAAUGAGACUGCCGGUGACAAACCGGAGGAAGGUGGGGAUGACGUCAAGUCCUCAUGGCCCUUAUGGCUAGGGCUUCACACGUCAUACAAUGGUCGGUACAGAGGGUAGCCAAACCGCGAGGUGGAGCCAAUCUCUUAAAGCCGAUCGUAGUCCGGAUCGCACUCUGCAACUCGAGUGCGUGAAGUCGGAAUCGCUAGUAAUCGUGAAUCAGAAUGUCACGGUGAAUACGUUCCCGGGCCUUGUACACACCGCCCGUCACACCAUGGGAGUGGGUUGCACCAGAAGUAGCUAGUCUAACCCUCGGGAGGACGGUUACCACGGUGUGAUUCAUGACUGGGGUGAAGUCGUAACAAGGUAACCGA